AUUGCUAUGAUGAAACACCAUGGUCAAAGGCAAGCUUGAGAAGACAGGGUUUAUUUGGCUUACACUUUCAUAUCAUAGCCCACUAUGACCUAUGUCCAUAGUCAGGACAGGAACUGAAACAGGGCAGAAACCUGGAGGCAGGAGCUGAUGCAGAGGUCACAGAAGAGUGCAUUGGCUGGCUUACCUCUCUCAUGGCUUGCUCAGUCUGCUUUCUUACACAGCCCAGGACCACCUGCCCAAGAAUGACACCACUCCUAGUGGGCCGUGUGCUCCCACAUUAAUCAUUGAUCAAGAAAAUGCUCCUAGAGUUGCUUACAAGACAAUCUGAUGGAGGGUCC
RNAcentral lists this long non-coding RNA (338 nucleotides) under Androctonus crassicauda. The record is from RNAcentral. Lineage: Eukaryota; Metazoa; Arthropoda; Arachnida; Scorpiones; Buthidae.